AUGGUGAAACUGGUAGACACGCCAGACUCAAAAUCUGGUGGCCGCAAGGCCGUGUCGGUUCGAAUCCGACUCCCGGCACCA
Molecule: transfer RNA, 81 nt
Filed under: Bacteroidota bacterium
Lineage: Bacteria; Pseudomonadati; Bacteroidota
Description: Bacteroidetes bacterium tRNA-Leu
Rfam family: tRNA
About the family: Transfer RNA (tRNA) molecules are approximately 80 nucleotides in length. Their secondary structure includes four short double-helical elements and three loops (D, anti-codon, and T loops).
Source: RNAcentral